RNAcentral lists this long non-coding RNA (939 nucleotides) under Canis lupus familiaris (dog). RNAcentral describes it as "lncRNA (ENSCAFG00040024451.1)". The record is from RNAcentral. Lineage: Eukaryota; Metazoa; Chordata; Mammalia; Carnivora; Canidae.
AUGCUCCAGGUUUUCCUCAGGAAGAGAUCUAGCUUGGAAUGGUGUAGAGAUGGUGAAAAUAUUCUUCCUAGAAAGUACUUAAACUAUUGUUUGUUUGUUUUUUUGGCUCCUCUAGAAUUCAUUACUGACCUAGACUUGAUCACUGACCUUGAGUUGCUUAAUGAACUUGAGUUGAUUAAUGCCUUUGAGUUGACCGCUGGACUAGAGUCCACUGCUGACCUAGAGUCGACCACCCAAGAGUCCCCUACCCACCUGGAGUUGUCCACCACCACAGAGUCCACCAUGACUCCGGGGUCCCCCACCAACCUCGAGCCCACUGCCACCCUGGAGUCUACCGCCGACCAGGAGUCCACAGCAACCCCAGAGUCCCCCACUGACCUGGUGUCUACUGCCACCCCAGAGUCCACUGCCACUCCAGAAUCCCCCACCAACCUGGAGUCCACCACCACUCUAGAGUCUACCGCUGACCAGGAGUCCACAAUGACCCCAGAGUCCCCCACUGACUUGGAGUCCACUGCCACCCCGGAGUCCUCCACCAACCUGCAGUCCACCGCCACCCCAGAGUCCAUCACCGACCUGGAGUCCACUACCACCACUCCAGAGACCCCGGCCAACCUGGAGUCCACCGCUAUCCCAGAGUCCGCCACUGACCUGGAGUCAACCACUAACCUAGUCUCCAUUAGUGAUGUAGAAUCUACCACAGAUGUGCAUUUUGAGAAUGCACAAACUUUCGAAUUAUCUACUGAGGUGGAAUCAAACAUUCAUAGCUUUGAGGAAGCAACCACUAAAGCCACUGAAAGUGUCACUGCUGCUCAUUCAGAAGAGCCCAUCACUAGAGGACCAGAAGAGCCUGGAACUUCUGUGGGAAGCAACGAGUCCAUCUCAGUACUUUUUUGUAAGUUUCUGCUCUCUUGCCCUGAUUCCUUAACAGGGGUUUGA